ACGUAGGGGGCAAGCGUUGUCCGGAUUUACUGGGUGUAAAGGGCGCGUAGGCGGGUUUUCAAAUCAGCGGUGAAAUCCCAUGGCUCAACCUUGGGACUGCGGGAGAUAUUGAUAAGCUAGAGUCUGGAAGAGGUAAGCAGAAUUGCUGGUGUAGGAGUGAAAUCCGUAGAUAUCAGGAAGAAUACUAAAGGCGAAGGCAGCUUACUAGGACAGUUCUGACGUUCAAGCGCGAAAGCGUGGGGAGCAAAUGG
This 251-nucleotide ribosomal RNA is filed under the name uncultured prokaryote. RNAcentral describes it as "partial 16S rRNA". It matches the Rfam family "Bacterial small subunit ribosomal RNA", at positions 525 to 775 of the family's 1533-position model. The record is from RNAcentral.